RNAcentral lists this ribosomal RNA (468 nucleotides) under uncultured bacterium. RNAcentral describes it as "partial 16S ribosomal RNA". It matches the Rfam family "Bacterial small subunit ribosomal RNA", at positions 28 to 507 of the family's 1533-position model. The record is from RNAcentral.
GACGAACGCUGGCGGCGUGCUUAACACAUGCAAGUCGAACGGAAAGGCCCUGCUUUUGUGCGGUCCUCGAGUUACGAACUGGUAACUAACCCGUGAGUAACCUGCCCUUGACUUUGGGAUAACUUCAUACAACUGGGGCUAAUACCGGAUAGGAGCUCCUGCUGCAUGGUGGGGGUUGGUCUGUUUCGGCAGUUGGUGAUGUACUCGCGGCUUAUCAGCUUGUUGGUGGGGUAGUGGCUUACCAAGGCUUGGCGGGGUUGCCUGCCUGAGAGGGUGACCGGAUACAUUGGAAUUGAGAUACGACACAGACUACUCUGGGAGGCAGCGGAGGAGAAUAUUGUACAAUGGGCGGAAGGCUGAUGCAGCAACGCCGCGUGGGGGGAGACGGCCUUCGGGUAGUAUAGCGAAGUUGCCUGGGACGAGGCGUGAGUGACGGUAAUGGAUAAAGAAGCACCGGCUAACUACGUG